CCGUUCCUGCUGGCCUGCCUGCACGGGGGUGCGGGCGGGCCCGAGCCCCUGUCCCAUUUCGAAGUAGAGGUGUGCCAGCUGCCCCGGCCCGGCCUCAGGGGCGUCCUCUUCCGCCGCGUGGCGGGCACCGCCCUGGCCUUCCGAACCCUUGUCACCCGCAUUUCCAACGACCUCGAACUCUGAGCCACCGCCACCGCCACCACCACCACCACCACCACCACCAUCACCACCACAGCCACCAUCACACCCCGGGUCCCUUCUUUUCUCUGGUUCCUUUCACUUCCCCAAAAGGGGAACAGGACAGAGGAGGGGGUUCCCCGUAUCAUGACUGAAGCUUCCCUGGAUUAGAUUGGUGGACAGUGUGGGGACACAUGACACGAUAAGAGGGCUCAGCAGGGGGGAGCUGGCACCCUCCUAGGGCCUCUAGUGGGGACCCCCCCAUCUUGCUCUGCUGCAGGGCACUUGAGGAGACUUUGGGGACAGGAGUGAGAAGGGAAACUGAGGAAAUUCUCCCAUUUGGGGAGAACUUCCAGGCAUAAUGACUGGAGACAGAACUCGGGGGGUUCAGGGAGUUGGGGGUCACAGGCAGAAACCUUCCCCUCCCUCCUCCUUAUGCUCGAACCUCCUUCAUGCCCCAGGCUGGCGCGGGGCACUUUGUACAAAUCCGUGUAUAUACUCCUGUCCCUCUGCAGAGGUCUCUCGGGGAGCUACCGCUGUCGCCUCAAGUUUUUAAGUUAUUGCCCCCCCUUCUGUCAGCUCCUCACCUGCAGCCUGUUACUCAAUAAACAGUAGGAGUCCCUCCAGCCCCCAACCCCCUGGCCGACCUGGGGUCUUCCUUCCCAGCCCUUGGCCUGCAGGUGAGCAGGGAGCUGGGGACUUGACCCCAACCUGUGGUUCUGCUUGCUGAGCCUCCGUUAUCUCAUCUGCAGAAUGGGAACAGUGGGGUUGGAGGGUGGGUCCAGGAUGAUCAUGGAAGAGGGCAAAACAGAAUUCGGCCUCUUCCGUGAGGCCCCAGCCUUCUGUGACACCCUCCUCUUGGCCACUUACUCCCCUCUGCCGUAUUACACUGGACCCAGAGCCUCUUCCUAUUCCAAUAAUACAUGUAUUCAAUAAACAAUCAAUGACUGGUGCCGACGCCACACUAGGCCCAGUUCUGGACACGAG
Molecule: long non-coding RNA, 1164 nt
Filed under: Rattus norvegicus (Norway rat)
Lineage: Eukaryota; Metazoa; Chordata; Mammalia; Rodentia; Muridae
Description: long non-coding RNA NONRATT002358
Source: RNAcentral